CUAAGAAUAUUCCGCAAUGGGCGAAAGCCUGACGGAGCGACGCCGCGUGGGUGACGGAGGCCGAAAGGUUGUAAAACCCUUUUGCGGGCGGAGAAGAAGGCCUGGAGGGAAUGCCAGGCCGGUGACGCCGGCCCGCGAAUAAGCCCCGGCUAAUUACGUGCCAGCAGCCGCGGUAACACGUAAGGGGCGAGCGUUGUUCGGAAUUAUUGGGCGUAAAGGGCGCGUAGGCGGCCCGGUAAGUCUGAUGUGGAAACCCCGGGCUCAACCCGGGAACUGCAUUGGAAACUGCGGGGCUUGAGUCACGGAGGGGAAGCCGGAAUUCCUGGUGUAGGGGUGAAAUCUGUAGAUAUCAGGAAGAACACCGAUGGCGAAGGCAGGCUUCCAGCCGAUGACUGACGCUGAGGCGCGAAAGUGCGGGGAGCAAACAGGAUUAGAUACCCUGGUAGUCCGCACUGUAAACGAUGCACACUAGGUCGUCGGGGCGAGUCGUCCCGGUGCCGAAGCGAACGCGGUAAGUGUGCCGUCCU
This 527-nucleotide ribosomal RNA is filed under the name uncultured bacterium. RNAcentral's name for it is "bacterial SSU rRNA". It matches the Rfam family "Bacterial small subunit ribosomal RNA", at positions 355 to 873 of the family's 1533-position model. The record is from RNAcentral.